RNAcentral lists this ribosomal RNA (236 nucleotides) under uncultured bacterium. Its description in RNAcentral is "partial 16S ribosomal RNA". It matches the Rfam family "Bacterial small subunit ribosomal RNA", at positions 15 to 244 of the family's 1533-position model. The record is from RNAcentral.
GAUCCUGGCUCAGGAUGAACGCUAGCUACAGGCUUAACACAUGCAAGUCGAGGGGCAGCAUGUUGGUUGCUUGCAACCGAUGAUUGCGACCGGCGCACGGGUGAGUAACGCGUAUCCAACCUACCCUUGUCCAUCGGAUAACCCGUCGAAAGGCGGCCUAACACGAUAUGCGGUUCACAGCAGGCAUCUAACGUGAACGAAAUGUGAAGGAGAAGGAUGGGGAUGCGUCUGGUUAG